Molecule: long non-coding RNA, 469 nt
Organism: Sarcophilus harrisii (Tasmanian devil)
Lineage: Eukaryota; Metazoa; Chordata; Mammalia; Dasyuromorphia; Dasyuridae
Exons: 2
Source: RefSeq, a predicted model, not a curated record
GCAGACAGAGUGAAGUGACUUGUCCAGGAUCCCAAGCUGAUCCAGUGGACCAUGGCCUCCCAGCUGUUUUACAAACAAGACGCUCUAUCCCUCAGCUCUGGGCAUUUCUCUGAUUGUCCCCCAGGCCUGGAAUAUUCUUUCCUUCUCAUCUCCAUCUAUUGACAUCCCCCCUUCCUUUAAGACCCAACUAAAACCUUACCUUCUCCAGGAAGCCUUCCCUAACUAUUCUUAAUUCCAGUGCUUUCCUUCUGUUAUUUCCUAUUUAUUCUGUAUCUAGCUUGCUUUGUCUAUAUUUCUUUACAUUGUCUCCCCUAUUAGAUUGUAAACUUUUUGAUGACAGGGAUUGUACUUGGUACAAAAUGGGCACUUAUGUUUACUGAAGGACAAAUGGAUUUUAUUCUUAUUAUCCCCAGGAACAAGUACAGUAUACAGCAGUCACUUAAUAAAGGCUUGUUGAUUGGUUGAUGUA